UACGUAGGGGGCAAGCGUUAUCCGGAUUUACUGGGUGUAAAGGGAGCGUAGACGGCCAUUCAAGCCAGAUGUGAAAGCCCGGGGCUCAACCCCGGGACUGCAUUUGGAACUGUAUGGCUGGAGUGUCGGAGAGGCAGGCGGAAUUCCUAGUGUAGCGGUGAAAUGCGUAGGUAUUAGGAGGAACACCAGUGGCGAAGGCGGCCUGCUGGACGAUGACUGACGUUGAGGCUCGAAAGCGUGGGGAGCAAACAGG
This 253-nucleotide ribosomal RNA is filed under the name uncultured bacterium. Its description in RNAcentral is "partial 16S ribosomal RNA". It matches the Rfam family "Bacterial small subunit ribosomal RNA", at positions 524 to 776 of the family's 1533-position model. The record is from RNAcentral.